AAGAAAAGUUGUGUAUACCCAGGGUGUUUUUACCCACGGCCAUUUUCCGUGGGUAAUACCCACGGCAAAGCCAUCGAAAAGGUAAAAAUAAGAAAUCACUUGUUUCCCUCUCACAUUUUCAAAGGAAAGUGUUGCAUCCACUAAAAAACGGGGUUAGCGCGAAAAAAUAUUUUGGUUACCCACGGCAAAUUCGUAUAUAAGCACAUUAUAAUUAUUAAUAUUUUUUUUUAUUAAUUUACUUCCACUUCCACUAUACCUUUCUUUUCUCUACCACUAUUCAUACUUUUCCCAAUUCUACUCAAAAGUCUGAUAAAAAAACGAAGGUUGGAAGACAACAUGACGGCGAAAGGCAAAACCCUAUCACUCUCUACUCCGGCGACCAUCUUCGUUCUGGUGACCCUCUCCGCUCUAAAGACCGUCUCCACUUUCUUCGUUCCCACUGCGUCCUCUCUGUUCGUCCCCCCUCCACCGGAACAGUGAGUAUAAUCCUUACUACUCAGUCUUCAUGUUUUGCUAAUUAAUCGACAUAAUCUUGUUGUGUGAAGCUGAGAAUUGAUUUUGUUGUUGUUGGGAAACUGGGAAUUUGAUGGGAAUCGGUCUUAGUUGCUAUAUGUGUGUAUUGGUUACUUCAAUAUCAUUUUUUAUCUUUGUUCUUUUGGGGAUUGUUUGCUCAUUUGGAAAUUACAAUUGAAAUGUUCAAUUUUCUUGUUGGAUGAUUUACAUUUUGUAGUGAAAACCCUAAAUUUAAUUUUCAUAUGAUUUGAACUUUACAUUUUUUUCCUAUGAAAGUUCAUUCUUUUUGUGGAUUCAUGAUAUGAAAAAAUUCCCAAAUAUGAAAAGUAAUAAUUACCUUUUUUUUUAAUGGCAAGAAUAUAUUAAUGGUUACCUUUGUGAUUUCUGAUUAGUGACUACUUAACCAUUGUUUUGAGCUAUGAAAAAGUUGAGGUACAUUCAUAAUGGAGAUUUGUCCAAAAGUUUCUUCAAUGGGUCAUUGCCUUCUAACACAACCAGCUAAGUGGAAUGGAAUACAAAUAAAAAAUAGCAAUAUAGUCUUCUAACCAUGAACCUGCAACAAGUACUACUAUGGCAGCAACAACAGCUCAGUCAGAGCCAAAACAAGUGACGUUGGUGAUUUUAGUGCUGGUUCUUAUGCAACAAUAGUUGGAGCGGAGGCUGCAGAGUUGGGUAGAGUACUCACAGUGGACGGGGUCUUUGUAAGAACUCAAACCAAUGCAUAGAAGUCAUCUUGGGUUGAACAAGAUAUAAAUUGCAGGCCUCAGAAGCUGCAGAUGGUAAGGGCUCCCAAACGAUCAACACGAUCGACCCUCCGACUCAUUUUAAGUUAUGUGUCUAAUCAUCUAGGGGGAAAACUGUUAUGACUACAUAUUUUGUCCAAAUUGGUAGUGUCUUAUCUGUUUAUUUUGAAACUUGUAAUAGUGUCAAUUUUUGUUAACACUACACUUUAGUUUGAGUAAGUGAUCUUUUGAUGAUAUGAUUCAAUUUGCUUAGUUUUAAAUUUA
Trifolium pratense (red clover) is the source of this 1520-nucleotide long non-coding RNA. RefSeq lists it as uncharacterized. The record is from RefSeq and is a predicted model, not a curated record. NCBI's taxonomy places the organism in Eukaryota, Viridiplantae, Streptophyta, Magnoliopsida, Fabales, Fabaceae. The transcript has 3 exons.